GACGAACGCUGGCGGCGUGCUUAACACAUGCAAGUCGAACGGAAAGGCCUUUUCGGAGGUACUCGAGUGGCGAACGGGUGAGUAACACGUGGGUGAUCUGCCCUGCACUCUUGGAUAAGCCUGGGAAACUGGGUCUAAUACCGGAUAGGACCGCACUUUAGUGUGUGUGGUUGAAAGUUUUUUCUGUGUGGGAUGAGCCCGCGGCCUAUCAGCUUGUUUGUGGGGUAAUGGCCUACCAAGGCGGCGACGGGUAGCCGGACUGAGAGGUUGGUCGGCCAAAUUGGGACUGAGAUACGGCCCAGACUCCUACGGGAGGAAGCAGUGGGGAAUAUUGCAAAAUGGGGGCAAGCCUGAUGCAGCGAAGCCGCGUGGGGGAGGACGGCCUUCGGGUUGUAAACACCUUUCGCAAGGGACGAAGCGUUUUGUGACGGUACCUGGAGAAGAAGCACCGGCUAACUACGUG
RNAcentral lists this ribosomal RNA (463 nucleotides) under uncultured bacterium. RNAcentral describes it as "partial 16S ribosomal RNA". It matches the Rfam family "Bacterial small subunit ribosomal RNA", at positions 28 to 507 of the family's 1533-position model. The record is from RNAcentral.